CUAACAAACCGUGGCUCUGCAGGCCCGGCCCUUUCAGUUUCAGGGUGCGGCUAAAGCACAAGCAAUAGUGAAGCAGGACGGGUAGCAUGGUGAAAGGCCCCAGAAGACACUGCCAAUAACCAUCCUAAUUUGGGCGCCGCUGUCACAUGGCAACAUCUCUUCAUCCCUCUGAGACUGCUCACACUGUUGAGGGACACAUGACAGUCUUAUCCUGAGCAUUAUCAUCAGGUGACAAGCGACAACGCUGAAGGCGUAUGGCCCCACAGUGGCUAUGUGGCUUACUGUUUCAGUGGGCAGAGCCUCCCUCAUCACACGAGGAACACCAUACCACUCGGGUACAUCAAGAAGAGGGAUGGUAAGAGCCGAAGGGAGAGGAGGUUGCUGUGGAAUGCUGUCCUCUAGGAACGACAGAGUCAUGUCCAACUGGAGCUCACAGCAGCUGUGAUGACUUGUACAGGACCAUCUCAAGAUUAGCACAUCAGCAUCCUAUCUUGAGGUAGGAAGGGACUCGUAAAGCCCCUACCUUUCCCUGAGGGCAACAGGCGGUUAAUAUUGGCUGGCAGAGAGUUCUCUUCCACUGGUAAGGGGUUCAUGCUCCUGUAAACAGCGCUCACCCCCGCUUCUGGAAGCAGCCUCGACUGAAUGCAUUACGUUCCACACAAAAAAGACACAGGAGUAAAAGGGAAAAUAUCCAGAAGAGAAAGAGGAUCAGGAGGAGUAGAGAGCCAAGAGAAGGCAAUGGGGGUGAAUAUGAUUCAUAUAUAUAAUGUUCAUAAUUAUGAAAAUAUCAUAACAAGAUCCGACACUGUGUGGUUUUAAAAAAAAAACUGGUGAGUAAAAUUUGGGCAAAACACCAGUUUUCUGACUCUGAUCCACUCUCUUUCCCUAGUCCCAGAAUACUGAAUUUUUCAAUAAUUAGGGUUCAGAAUAUAUAAAUGGCAAAUAGUUGUUUAGAAAUAGCAUUAAAUUCAGUAAAACAAAGCAAAACACACAUAGAAAUUAGUUACCCAAUCAAACAUAUUUCAUGUUUGGACAAUUUGUGUACUAUAUGCUUAAAGAAUAACUCUCUCACCUCAAAAAGUAAAGGUAGUUCACCAUCUACACCAUCAUUCUUGAGACAACGGGGUUGACUAGACCUCAGAGUUACUGCAUUUGGGGCUAGUUCAUGGAUAAUUUGACACUUCCCCAGAAAAUUCUUCCAUUCUACCCUCCAGCAGGUCAUCUGGUCUCUGGUUUGACUGUUAACCCUUCCCAAGAUCUUUAACGAAGAAACUCUCUCAUUUGAUAACCCAGUGGAAAACUAUUGCCAUGAUAACCCAUGGAAAACACCUGCCACAAGGAAGAUUUGAGCACCCCAAUGUCCCACAAAUGCAGAUUACUAAAAUGAGCCAUGAGCAUCUCCAAUGCUCCCCAAACACAGACUAUUAAAGGAUGCUAUGGGCACUUGGGAAAGGCAAGAUGUCCACCAGGUGACCACCUGGACAGGUGGAAGGAAUCUGGCCUAACAUGUAUCUUUUUUUGUGGAAAAAAAAUAAAAUUUUAAAAGGGA
Myodes glareolus (Bank vole) is the source of this 1549-nucleotide non-coding RNA. The record is from RefSeq and is a predicted model, not a curated record. NCBI's taxonomy places the organism in Eukaryota, Metazoa, Chordata, Mammalia, Rodentia, Cricetidae.